RNAcentral lists this ribosomal RNA (62 nucleotides) under Closterium peracerosum-strigosum-littorale complex. Its description in RNAcentral is "partial 28S ribosomal RNA". Lineage: Eukaryota; Viridiplantae; Streptophyta; Zygnematophyceae; Desmidiales; Closteriaceae. The record is from RNAcentral.
ACGAGGGGAGGAACCGGGGAAAACCCCCAAACGAUGGCUUCAAGUCAGGCGAGACUACCCGC